This 540-nucleotide ribosomal RNA is filed under the name uncultured archaeon. Its description in RNAcentral is "bacterial SSU rRNA". It matches the Rfam family "Archaeal small subunit ribosomal RNA", at positions 13 to 558 of the family's 1478-position model. The record is from RNAcentral.
CCCGCCGGACCUGACUGCUAUCGGAUUGAUNCNNNNNNAUGCGAGUCAUUGUAGUAAUACAAGGCAGACGGCUCAGUAACGCGUAGUCAACCUAACCUAUGGACGGGGAUAACCUCGGGAAACUGAGAAUAAUACCCGAUAGAACAUUAUGCCUGGAACGGUUUAUGUUUCAAAUAAUUUAUUGCCGUAGGAUGGGACUGCGGCCUAUCAGUUUGUUGGUGAGGUAAUGGCCCACCAAGACUAUUACAGGUACGGGCUCUGAGAGGAGUAGCCCGGAGAUGGGUACUGAGACACGGACCCAGGCCCUAUGGGGCGCGGCAGGCGAGAAAACUUUGCAAUGUGCGAAAGCACGACAAGGUUAAUCCGAGUGGUUUCUGCUAAAGGAACCUUUUGCCAGUCCUAGAAACACUGGUGAAUAAGGGGUGGGCAAGUUCUGGUGUCAGCCGCCGCGGUAAAACCAGCACCUCAAGUGGUCAGGAUGAUUAUUGGGCCUAAAGCAUCCGUAGCCUGCUUUGUUAGUUUUCGGUUAAAUCUAUUCGC